Oreochromis aureus is the source of this 796-nucleotide long non-coding RNA. RefSeq lists it as uncharacterized. NCBI's taxonomy places the organism in Eukaryota, Metazoa, Chordata, Actinopteri, Cichliformes, Cichlidae. The transcript is spliced from 3 exons. The record is from RefSeq and is a predicted model, not a curated record.
GAAAUAUUUUUGCUUUUGUUUUCCUUCUCAGUUCUUACGGCAUGCUGAGAGUGUGAUAACAGCAUGUUAAUGGAGCCACAGCACUAAAUAUUUUGUGAACCCCCGUUUGAAGAGUUAGACCACCAUUCGUCUUCAAUAAGCAGGUCUGAGGCCAUGAAGCACCAAUAAACCCAAACCUGAAAUCAUCAAGGAGGCUUCAUGCUGGGACUAAGAGACAUGGAGACAGUAAAGCAGAAGGAGAGCGUGAACUCGCCAGUGUUGGGACAACAUUAGCUCAGUGUUCGCAUCACUGCCGGCAUCUGUCAGUCUCCUGCUCUCCUCACUUGGGAACAAGACACAGAGAUACAUAAACUCCACAUGGGUCAGCAACUCAUCCCUGACCUAGAGUGGGCACUCUACUCUUUCCUGGCGGAAAACCAUGUCCUCAGAGUUGGAAGUGCUAAUUUCACUCCUGCUGCUUCAGAUUCAGCUGUAGACCACCCCACUGUGAGCUGGAGGUCACCGCCUGAUGAAGUGAAAUAAACCACCUCAUGUGCAAAAAGCAGACAGGUGAUCUUGACGCCACCAAAGUGGGGAUCCUCCACCACUUGGCUGUGUGUCUAUGGUUAACACAAACCACGGUCUUCUGUCAAAAAUACAUCAACAAGACAAAACUGUCCGUUGUACAUUUAAAAAAUUAGGUUGGUUUAAGUUUACAAGUUUGUAAAGCACAGUUAUGUGCUCUUGCUGUUACCAGUGAACACAGGUGUCACCAUACAAUGAAUAUAUAAAGAGCUUUUCAUUUUGAGGUUCUGUA